Molecule: unclassified non-coding RNA, 838 nt
Filed under: Hevea brasiliensis (rubber tree)
Lineage: Eukaryota; Viridiplantae; Streptophyta; Magnoliopsida; Malpighiales; Euphorbiaceae
Source: RNAcentral
AAAGAGGCUGAGGCUAUUUGGAGUGAACUUGGAGUUCCAACUUGAUGAAUCGGAACCAUCCACACCAGAUGGUUCGUCUUUUUCGAGCCAGGGUCCAACGCAACAGCAACUCUACAGCUUUCACUCAGCUUAUUCUUCUUCUUCAAAUAGCAGCCAUGGUCACAUGGAUAUAACUUUAUCAAGAGAUGUCAACCAGACGAGAAAUCAUCGAGGAUAAGAUCUGUGGAUGUGACGUUCCUCGAUUUGACUUAAUUGAACACUCCCCUAUCUCCCUUCCCUACCCCUUCCUCCACUUGGAGGGUGAGAAAGAUUUUAUGAAAAAUAUUUCUUUCUUUAUAUAUAUAUAUAUAAGAAAUCCCUGAAUUUCAGGUGCAAAGUUCAAGCCAGGUAGAAAAGAGGGGAGUGGAAAAAAAAAAUGGAGAAAAUUUUAGAAGGGGGGAGAAGCCAAAGGGAUGAGAGAUGGGGUCCAAUGAAGACAGAAAGGAGUAGAGGGGACAAAUGGUGACAUAAGGAAAUUGCCAAAUGGGAAAAUUUUUGAGUGGGUUGGGAAUUGAAAUUGAGGGAGGAAUCUAUUUAGACACUGUUGAGAUUCUGCCUGAAGAUUUUUCAUAAGGUAUCAUAAUCAUAAUGGAAGAGGGUGGUAUGGUGGUGGAUGGAUGGAUUGACGGGUGGGUGAUGGCCGGCCUUCAAUUCAUGGAUGGCAGCCAAGUAAUGUAGUUGCCUCUCUCUCUCUGUCUCUCUCUACAUGUCAAUUUAUCCAAACAUCAAGCAAAGGCAAAGCUGUUUUUGAUGCUUCAUCAUUGUUUCUCUUAUGUAAUUGUAAGUUGUUGCAAGUCAG